This 1774-nucleotide ribosomal RNA is filed under the name Triticum aestivum (bread wheat). RNAcentral describes it as "partial small subunit ribosomal RNA". The record is from RNAcentral. Lineage: Eukaryota; Viridiplantae; Streptophyta; Magnoliopsida; Poales; Poaceae.
AGGAGGAGGAGGAGGAGGAGGACAAUGCUCUCUUCGGCAGCGGCCUUUAUCCUGGGACUGUCGGCAUCGACCUCAUUCUUCUAGCCCUGCCUGCAGUCUUAGGCCAGGCCAUUGACCCCAUGGCGCAGCUCAUGGAGACCGCGUAUAUCGGCAAAUUAGGGGCUCUGGAGCUAGCGUCUGCUGGAAUUGGUGUGGCUAUUUUCAACAUCCUAUCCAAGAUUUUCAACAUCCCCUUGUUGAGCAUAGCAACCUCAUUUGUGGCAGAAGAUAUUUCCAAGAAUGCUAGCAAGCAUUCUACUUCAGGCAAACUGGAGCUGCCAUCCGUGUCGUCGGCUUUGGUUUUAGCUGCUGCGAUUGGUACAAUCGAAGCAUUGGCAUUGUUCCUAGGAUCAGGAUUGUUUCUUAAACUAAUGGGCGUCUCACCUGUCUCUCCGAUGUAUACAUCUGCGCGGCUCUUUCUUUCGCUGAGAGCCUUAGGAGCACCUGCAAAUGUGAUUAUGUUAGCAGUGCAGGGUAUCUUUCGUGGAUUCAAGGAUACCAAGACUCCCGUACUUUUUAUAGGUUUGGGGAAUCUUUCAGCUGUGGUCCUUCUUCCGCUACUUAUAUAUGGUUUUAAGCUUGGUAUAACAGGAGCAGCAAUUUCGACAGUCGCAUCCCAGUACAUUAUUGCCAUUUUGCUUAUGUGGUCUCUAAGUAAAAGAGCUGUUCUGCUUCCUCCAAAGAUGGACCAGUUAGAGUUCGGUGGAUAUUUAAAAUCUGGUGGCAUGCUAUUGGGACGAACCCUCUCAAUUCUGUUAACUAUGACCAUCGGUACAUCAAUGGCUGCUCGACAAGGCCCAACAGCUAUGGCUGCUCAUCAGAUUUGUUUGCAAGUAUGGCUUGCUGUAUCUCUGCUUGCAGAUGCCUUAGCAGUUUCUGCCCAGGCUCUGAUUGCAAGCUCUUACGCAAUACUGGACUACAAAAGGGUCCAGAAGGUUGCGAUGUUUGCUCUGCAGAUAGGACUAGCUAGCGGGUUAGCUUUGGCAGUUGGCCUGUAUAUCUCAUUUGGCAGUAUAGCAAAGCUAUUUACCAAUGACCCUCAGGUCCUAGCGGUUGUGAGCUCCUGUGCAUUGUUUGUCUGUGCCAGUCAACCAGUUAAUGCCUUGGCAUUCAUCUUUGAUGGCCUCCAUUAUGGCGUCUCCGAUUUUGACUAUGUCGCUCAAGCUACGAUUGUGGUUGGGGUGAUAUCAUCGUUGGUCUUGUUAUAUGCUCCACGUGUCUUUGGCCUGGCCGGAGUUUGGGCUGGUUUGACAACACUCAUGGGAUUGCGCAUGGCUGCAGGCAUCCUGAGGUUGCUAUGGAAAUCAGGACCUUGGUCAUUUUUGCACGAGGAACCUGCAGAAACCAAGGCCGGGCCGGGUGUGUUUGAAUCGAAUAUUACAGUUGCAGGCGCAGCCCUUUGCAUCAUAAGAAUUCGUGGCGAGCCAGCACAUGUCAGGUCGUAGGGAGAGGUGCAGUUGAGGAAUGAAGAAGCACAAGCUAAACCAAGAAGGGGUCAAGCUGCUAAGCUAAGAGGAUAUAUUGUCAUUAGUUUUGUCACUUUUUUUUUUGUGUGUGUGUGUGCGUGUGUAUGUAAAGAAGAGGAGGGAGGAUUAUUUCAUUUGAUGUUGCCAGCAUGCAGUUUCUUCAUUCAUUUGUUUGUUCUAUCUAUAAAACUAUGCAUUUCUAAUGAUAUGUAAAGUAUGGAAGAAAUGUGAGUUGUUGGUUCCCCUAUGGCUAUUCAUUUCAUUUCACG